Molecule: long non-coding RNA, 355 nt
Filed under: Fukomys damarensis (Damara mole-rat)
Lineage: Eukaryota; Metazoa; Chordata; Mammalia; Rodentia; Bathyergidae
Description: lncRNA (ENSFDAG00000025439.1)
Source: RNAcentral
CACCUGUGCUUGAGGACGAGCUCUCUGUUCUGAGUGAAGAGCAGAGCACCGCCAGGGCUCUCAGGAGUGCGCUGGAAUGCGCUGGCCGGCGUGGAGACAGGAUGCCGAGGAGCACACGGAGAGCGCCGAGCGGAGAAGGCUGGGGAAUGCCCUGCACAUCGUUAGAAUAUCACCUUUGAAAACGUGGGGACUGCGGCUUGACAAAAGCAAGAGGGAAAUAAGUAUAAUGAGGCAUUUUCACUGGUCCAGCUGUGUCAUGGGGAAGGUUUCCCUCAGCUCCAGGUGGAAUACUCUGGACAGUCCCUACGUCUCCCAGGAAAUAGAGCAUCAUCCUUCUGUGAUGAAAGUGGAAUAG